GCCUGGGUGGCUCAGUCAGUUGAGCAUCUGACUUCGGCUCAGGUCACAAUCUCACAGUUUGUGGGUUCGAGCCCCACUUUGGGCU
This 85-nucleotide transfer RNA is filed under the name Felis catus (domestic cat). It matches the Rfam family "tRNA". Rfam says of the family: Transfer RNA (tRNA) molecules are approximately 80 nucleotides in length. The record is from Rfam by way of RNAcentral. Lineage: Eukaryota; Metazoa; Chordata; Mammalia; Carnivora; Felidae.